CCUGCCCAAGAGACUGGGAUAACACCUGGAAACAGAUGCUAAUACCGGAUAACAACACUAGACGCAUGUCUAGAGUUUGAAAGAUGGUUCUGCUAUCACUCUUGGAUGGACCUGCGGUGCAUUAGCUAGUUGGUAAGGUAACGGCUUACCAAGGCAAUGAUGCAUAGCCGAGUUGAGAGACUGAUCGGCCACAUUGGGACUGAGACACGGCCCAAACUCCUACGGGAGGCAGCAGUAGGGAAUCUUCCACAAUGGACGAAAGUCUGAUGGAGCAACGCCGCGUGAGUGAAGAAGGGUUUCGGCUCGUAAAGCUCUGUUGGUAGUGAAGAAAGAUAGAGGUAGUAACUGGCCUUUAUUUGACGGUAAUUACUUAGAAAGUCACGGCUAACUACGUGCCAGCAGCCGCGGUAAUACGUAGGUGGCAAGCGUUGUCCGGAUUUAUUGGGCGUAAAGCGAGUGCAGGCGGUUCAAUAAGUCUGAUGUGAAAGCCUUCGGCUCAACCGGAGAAUUGCAUCAGAAACUGUUGAACUUGAGUGCAGAAGAGGAGAGUGGAACUCCAUGUGUAGCGGUGGAAUGCGUAGAUAUAUGGAAGAACACCAGUGGCGAAGGCGGCUCUCUGGUCUGCAACUGACGCUGAGGCUCGAAAGCAUGGGUAGCGAACAGGAUUAGAUACCCUGGUAGUCCAUGCCGU
Molecule: ribosomal RNA, 691 nt
Filed under: uncultured bacterium
Lineage: Bacteria
Description: bacterial SSU rRNA
Rfam family: Bacterial small subunit ribosomal RNA
Source: RNAcentral